GAUGAACGCUGGCGGCGUGCCUAAUACAUGCAAGUCGAGCGAACGGACGAGAAGCUUGCUUCUCUGAUGUUAGCGGCGGACGGGUGAGUAACACGUGGAUAACCUACCUAUAAGACUGGGAUAACUUCGGGAAACCGGAGCUACUACCGGAUAAUAUUUUGAACCGCAUGGUUCAAAAGUGAAAGACGGUCUUGCUGUCACUUAUAGAUGGAUCCGCGCUGCAUUGGCUAGUUGGUAAGGUAACGGCUUACCAAGGCAACAAUGCAUAGCCGACCUGAGAGGGUGAGCGGCCACACUGCAACUGAGACACGAUCCAGACUCCUACGAGAGGCAGCAGUAGGGAAACUUCCGCAAUGGGCGAAGGCCUGAAGGAGCAACGCCGCGUGAGUGAUGAUGGUCUUCGGAUCAUAAGACUCUGUUAUUAGGGAAGAACAUAUAUGUAAGUAACUGCGCACAUCUUGACGGUACCUAAUCAGAAAGCCACGGCUAACUACGUG
This 497-nucleotide ribosomal RNA is filed under the name uncultured bacterium. RNAcentral describes it as "partial 16S ribosomal RNA". It matches the Rfam family "Bacterial small subunit ribosomal RNA", at positions 28 to 507 of the family's 1533-position model. The record is from RNAcentral.